GGCCCGUUUCAUAAAACUUUUGACUUGCAACUGUAACAUCUCCCAUAUCUAUGGCAAAUCUUGUUAUUGCAAUGACAACUUGUCAUAGUUGCAAAUAUCCGUUUCAUAAAAGCAAUGACAAAUUGUUAUCGUAAAUAAAAAUAAUUAAAUGAAAAAUAGUUCGUGAACGAGCCUGAUAUGCAGCUAACAGCCGGUUUUUUUCUUCACACACGUCGUCUGCGAGAAAUUUUGAUGGUGACAGAAUUUACGGAAAAUUUGAAUCGGAGAUAUGGAGACCAGCAGCGUGGCAGCAGGAGCAAAUUUUGGCCGUGAUAAGGCGUAUACCACCAUCAACAAUGCUGCAAUUGCAGUCACUACCACCACUGCUGCCACCACUAUCAGUGCUGCUGAUGCCACCACCACCAAGUCUGCCACUGCCAUCACCAUUGCCACCGCCACUACCAAGACCACUCCUGACACAAAGCCCCCAAGUCCUCAACUGACCAGAUAUUGCAGCUGGAGAAGGAUAGACCAGGAACUUCAAAGCCAGGGCUUUUUGGUCUCCUACAAUAAGAAAAAUGCCAAGGGCCCAUCUAAUGAACUUCUAGAAUAUUUGGCCACAGUUGUAGAAAUGCAGAGACUAACAUACUGCCACAGGUGAGGCUUUGUCCGCAGUUCCGGAAAGACAAGCCAUGCCAAAAUCAACGACUGAAGGGUUUGGAGCGCCAGGCAAAGAGCCUAGAAAUGUGAUUUAACCGUACUUCAAUCACAUGAACAGUAGCAGGAGCAAAAACAGCAGCAAACACACAGGAGAUGUAAUGACUACAUUGACCAAUACCAACAACUACAGCAGCAUCAACAAUAUCUGCAAAAACCACACUGGCAACCUCAACAACAUCAAGAUGUUCAACAACCACUUCGGGAAUUCAACAAACACAUCAGCAGAAA
RNAcentral lists this long non-coding RNA (927 nucleotides) under Lytechinus variegatus (green sea urchin). Its description in RNAcentral is "uncharacterized LOC121424501". The record is from RNAcentral. Lineage: Eukaryota; Metazoa; Echinodermata; Echinoidea; Temnopleuroida; Toxopneustidae.